RNAcentral lists this transfer RNA (74 nucleotides) under Apaloderma vittatum (bar-tailed trogon). It matches the Rfam family "tRNA". From Rfam's summary of the family: Transfer RNA (tRNA) molecules are approximately 80 nucleotides in length. Their secondary structure includes four short double-helical elements and three loops (D, anti-codon, and T loops). Further hydrogen bonds mediate the characteristic L-shaped molecular structure. tRNAs have two regions of fundamental functional importance: the anti-codon, which is responsible for specific mRNA codon recognition, and the 3' end, to which the tRNAs corresponding amino acid is attached (by aminoacyl-tRNA synthetases). tRNAs cope with the degeneracy of the genetic code in two manners: having more than one tRNA (with a specific anti-codon) for a particular amino acid; and 'wobble' base-pairing, i.e. permitting non-standard base-pairing at the 3rd anti-codon position. The record is from Rfam by way of RNAcentral. Lineage: Eukaryota; Metazoa; Chordata; Aves; Trogoniformes; Trogonidae.
GGUCGGUUAGCACAGUUGGUUUGAGCGUGGUGCUGAUAACACCAAGGUCACGGGUUCGAUCCCCGAUCGGUCCC